Long non-coding RNA from Crotalus tigris (Tiger rattlesnake), 368 nucleotides. RefSeq lists it as uncharacterized. NCBI's taxonomy places the organism in Eukaryota, Metazoa, Chordata, Lepidosauria, Squamata, Viperidae. The record is from RefSeq and is a predicted model, not a curated record. The transcript has 3 exons.
GCCAGCCACACAUCUUGUGUUCCCUGCUUCCCGGGUUUUUUCUCCACUGUGGGAUCUCUGGAAUGCCAACCCUGUCCAGCAGGGCAUUAUUGUCCUAAUUUUGGGACUAUUCAACCAGUCCCUUGUCCCCCUGGCUCCAUGGCUCAUGCUCCCAGACAAAUCAAGUGCCGAAGAGAAAACGAAACUUCUUGCUGUCCAGACAACAUGGCCGAGAUGUUGUUUGCUUGGAAAUCUCUUCAUUCUGCAGUGGAUCUACAAAGCCAACUCUGUCCUUCAGGGUAUUUUCAUAGUCCUGGACUGACCACAGCUCCAUGUCCCAGGGGAAGUUUUGAGCCGAGAGAAAAAUCCCUAAAGCUGAGCAACAGAUC